This is a long non-coding RNA of Homo sapiens (human), 820 nucleotides long. RefSeq lists it as uncharacterized. Lineage: Eukaryota; Metazoa; Chordata; Mammalia; Primates; Hominidae. The transcript has 2 exons. The record is from RefSeq and is a predicted model, not a curated record.
CUUGUGAUCUGCCCGCCUCGGCCUCCCAAAGUACUGGGAUUACAGGCGUGAGCCACCGCGCCCGGCUGGGUGACUUCUUUUGGAAACCACUUUUGACCCCUAAUUUAGUCCAGAACUCAGAUUAUAAUGUUUUAAUAAAGUUGUGUGUGUGUGUGUGUGUGUGUGUGUGUGUGUGUGUGUGUAUAGUAUCUGCACUAUCCAGAUCAUGGUUGUUAUAGUUGUGAUGCUUAUAGUGUUAAUUUGAGGAAAAUAACUUUCUUAGACAAAUGAACACCUCCCUUUGUUUUUUUACAGAAGAUGGCCUGUUUCAAAGGUGUGUGCCCCUGGAUGUUGGGGUCACCAUUUUUCUCUCUUUCAGGAGCAUGGAAGUUAAAAGGAAAAAUAAGGGGGAAUAUGAGAAGUCAACUGACUUGAAACUGAGCUAGUGGGACAGUCUGUCAUUAUGUGCCUUCUGAUGUGAUGCAGUAAGAAAUACAUAUCACCUACAUAGUGUCUGUGCCAAGGUGUUUAACCUGAAUUUGAUCAUUUAAAAAAAUCAGAUGAAUUCAAUACACAGGACAUGCUACAAGCCAGCUGGCCUGAACUCUUCAAAAGAAGGCAGUCACAUGAGAAAACAAAAAUGGAGAGGGUGAGCUGUUUCUAAUUAUAAGAGGCAAAAAAGACAGAAUAGCCAAAUGCAAUGAGUAAAAUUUAUUCAAACACAGAUAUAUAAGGGAAAAAGACAUACUUGGGGGGGCAAUUGGGUACAUUUUAAUAUAGACUAUAAUGACAAUAUUGACUCCUUGUUAUUCUUAUAUAUAAUAAAUCCCUGUUAGUAGUA